This 376-nucleotide small RNA is filed under the name Histoplasma capsulatum var. duboisii H88. Its description in RNAcentral is "Histoplasma capsulatum H88 hypothetical RNA". The record is from RNAcentral. Lineage: Eukaryota; Fungi; Ascomycota; Eurotiomycetes; Onygenales; Ajellomycetaceae.
GGCUAAAGUAUCGAUGGGUCAAAUUGCAGACUCGGGACCACUCCUCACAAUUUCUCUGGGUUGUUGAAGAACUGGGGACUUGAAAUACUAGUUUGCUCAACUGGAUAAUAUCUCCUAGUUCUCUUUUGAAAUCCUCUUCGAAUUAAGUCGGUGGGACUUUUCUAGGUGGCGUUGAAGUUGGUCCAGGUGCCAUUCUUUCCGAGAAAUUGAAUGCUCCCCAGACUGGUUCCGAAUUCCAAACACCGAGUAUGCGAGACCUCUGGGGCAUGGACAGGCGACUCCAAAUCCGGCAUUGGACUGAGCAUGGUUCCGAAAUACAUUAUGUUGUGCGAACCGAAGGGCAUUCUCCAUUGUUUAUAUAAACCGACAUCGCGCC